Molecule: ribosomal RNA, 517 nt
Filed under: uncultured bacterium
Lineage: Bacteria
Description: bacterial SSU rRNA
Rfam family: Bacterial small subunit ribosomal RNA
Source: RNAcentral
AAUGAACGCUGGCGGCGUGCUUAACACAUGCAAGUCGUGCGCGAAAGCGGCUUCGGCCGCGUGUAGAGCGGCGAACGGGUGAGUAACACGUGGACAACCUGCCCAAGAGUGGGGAUAACCUGGGGAAACUCGGGCUAAUACCGCAUACGUUCGUGGGGUUUCGGCCCUGCGCAGAAAGGUGGCCUAUGCUUGCAAGCCACCGCUCCUGGAGGGGUCCGCGUCUGAUUAGCUAGUUGGCGGGGUAACGGCCCACCAAGGCGACGAUCAGUAGCCGGCCUGAGAGGGUGAUCGGCCACACUGGAACUGAGACACGGUCCAGACUCCUACGGGAGGCAGCAGUGGGGAAUAUUGGACAAUGGGGGAAACCCUGAUCCAGCAACGCCGCGUGGAGGAUGAAGGUCUUCGGAUUGUAAACUCCUGUUAGGGGGACGAAGGGAUGUCGGCGAACAGCCGGCAAACUUGACGGUACCCCCAGAGGAAGCCCCCGGCUAAACUCUGUGCCAGCAGCCGCGGUAAU